GAGUAUUUAAUCCCUAAGGUUUCUAUAAUACUGCAACUUCCGUUAGACCUCAGUUUUCUCUAAUUCCUUCCCCCAGCGAUUUCCCCACACUAAUAAUUGUUAAAUAAUGCAUGGGCAGUUGCAAAGUCCAACACAGCUCCACCCUUCUGUAAGGCUUUUCCUCAUCACUGGAUGUUUGUGUGUUAUGCAACUAGCAAUAGAUUAAUGCCCACAGUGCAAAACGGAGAUGCCUGUGCCUUAAGUCUAUGAACUCUUUCAAUCCCUACUGUCAGAUAUGCUGUAAGAGACAGCGGACAGCAGAUGGAAGGAUAGAAAAUGAUCUCCUCAUGAACUACAAAAAGGAUGUAAUUGGUC
Long non-coding RNA from Neopsephotus bourkii (Bourke's parrot), 354 nucleotides. RefSeq lists it as uncharacterized. The record is from RefSeq and is a predicted model, not a curated record. The transcript has 3 exons. Lineage: Eukaryota; Metazoa; Chordata; Aves; Psittaciformes; Psittacidae.